AGUAUACUUUGAGAUUUCCUCAGAGUACACGUCUAUAACUACAGAGCGAUAGUAGUGUUGGAAUCUGAGUAUAAUGGGUAACUGUUGUGAUACCAGAGUCCUACCUCAAGAAUGUACUAACACACCCUUCUCAACUGAUGACCGUCCUCGGACAAAAUCCUCACUGACCGUGGGCUCCAGAAAACGCCGGAACAUAUUUAGAAUCAUAAGAAAUAUCCACCACAAGAAUCCUGUUGUUCCCAUGGAAGCUGAAGAACAUCAAGCCCCAACUUCCUCAUCUAUACAAAAACCACAAAAUGAAACAAAAGCUAAACAUGGUGACGGUACAACUUCAGAAGAGGACGAGGAAAAGUCACCACUGCGUAGGGUUAAGGUAGCUUCUAAAAGAAGCAGACAUAGGAUUCCGUUCUUGAGAAACAAGUGUCGGAGGGGCAGUCUCCUCCCAAUGGAUGCUCAAGAAUGUGACUUUAUAGAUACAAGUUGUGAAGGAAAACCACAAGACAACCUAGAAGUGGUAGCUGAAUGCUCUGAUGGUGCAGCUUUGUCAGUGGACAAGGGGAAAGGACCAGUGAAAAUGGCAGAGGCAACAUCGAAAAAACGAAGAUGUGUUUCUGCAAUCUUAAAGAAAUUUUCUCGAAGGCGAGUGGUGGCCCCCAUUAAACUGAGAAGACCUGUAGUCCUCCCUGGCACCUCCAAAGAAACAGCACCUGUCACAACAGAAGUGGUCCCUGAAAAUGCUGACAGUGCACCUUCAGCAAGGGGACAGAAAGAGCCACCAGUAGAGAUGAUGAAGGAGGAGACUAAAAAACGUAGACACAGUAUGUAUUAUAGAAUCUCUUAAGAUACAUUUUAGAAAGGAAUUGCAUAAACACUGGAUAUCCUUUUGUGAAGUGUAUAAUGGUGCUCUAGCUCACCUACUAGGAAGAACUUGUAUUCAAUUUUUUGAAUGACUUCUUUGUUUGUUUUGUUUGUUUGUUAGUGUUCAUUUUUUUUCUUAAGUAUUACCUUAACUUAAAAGAAAAACUGGAGGUGUUUGUCUACCAUAACUGGAUUCAAGUAUGAUCUCUCUAAGUUGUUUAAGAUGUGGUAUACCAGGCAGUGUCUAAAUCUGUUUUCCCUCAAGAUAGGUACCCUAAUUACCCAGUUCAAUCUCCAUUGACAAAGUAUUGAAGUAACAAAUUAGAGUACAGAGUUUACCUACAAAAUAUGAGUUGAAAGUUCAUCACAUGUGGUGCAUUCAUUUUUUUAUGGUGGUAGUCUAGUGAAGAAUAAGCCAGGGCACAAAGGUGAGUGAUGAGGCUCUCCAUGCAGAUCAACAGACACUUUGUGGAGCAAGGACUUAGUGAUGCCUAUAUUCCCAGCAUCUUCCUUCAGUAGGUCAAAAUCACAGAGAUCCCAGACUCUGCCUUGACUACCUCAGUGGGCAGAGCCAGGACAUUGCUCUCCAUCUGCCUGCACUCAUACAUCCACAAGCAUGAGAGGUAGAAAUCCCACACACUUUUAGGCAGACCACAGAUUCUGACAAUGGGAGCUCAACACUGUAUGAAGGGACAUUUUGUCACCUACAAUGACACCAAGCUGCCUUUCCAGUCUCCUCCAGUUGAGGGUUUAUCUAGGUCUGACCAGAUAAAGAAGCUGCCAUUUGCACACCUUCAUGUGAGAAUGGGGUUGCCCUGACUUGGAGUCUGAGUCAUCAGUGGGGCUCUGCAGGCUUUGGUGCCCUCCCGAUUCUGUUCCUCAGUGACCAGACUCAGUCACUGAGAGCCAGGUCACAGUGUAAGGAUGAUGGAGGAAGGCCCUGUUCACUGAUCCAGGAAUCCCACAACUUCUUUUGGGUUGAAAGGUAGAUUAUACCUUCAGUUGUAUCUGUCAGGGAAGAUGGCCACUGAUGCAUGAAUGCAGCUAUCAUUGUAACCUUGGGUGAAAAGUCAGAGGGUCUCACAGCUUGUUAACCUCUACAUCCCACUAAGGCAAUGCCAUACAUUGACCAUGAGAUGUAGCCGAUAAGAAUGAAGAGUAAACAAGUGUUGUACAAUGUUCUGGAAUACAUGCAUUCCUGAGUCCAGGUGCAGUUACUCCUAUGCAGCUGAGGUCUUCUGGCCUGUCACAGACAUCACAGGGCACUCCAGCAAUGCCUGUGGUUUCUCCUACAGUGUACACUAAAGAGAUUGAUCUGUUCUAGCCUAGUGAGUCUCAUGGGAAGUCCUUCUCAACCAACUAAGAAGGAAGUCUUUGUGUUGUAGUGAAGAGUUGGUGACUGAAGGCAUUGCAUGGGUGUGGCUGUGUGCUUGUGGCUCUAAGAAGGGUUAGAGUGAUGCCCAUUGGGCAGGAUACUCACACAGCAUGCUCAGUUGUGUGGCUCUUCCUUCUGUGUUUCCAUAUUCAUCUAUAUGUAGGCUUUAUCUAGGAUUCCUGUGAUGUCCAUUCAAUGCCUAACUCCUUGUACAUGACAUGCAGUGAUCCUCCUGAAGCACCAGUCUCACUCUGAUGACUGUACCUGGAACAAGCAGUCAGAUUAAAGGCACAAAUACUCAGUAGUCGUUAGUUUGCUUGAGUUUUCUUCCAAGAAGCUGACAUGAUUCCCUAUUAUAACUGCAUUCUCAGUUUUUUCUAUCUUAAGAGGAAUUUGUCAUAAGACAACUGUAGUCCCUCAGGACACGCAGAGACUUCCAGUCUCUAAGGCUACAUCUACAAAAGC
RNAcentral lists this long non-coding RNA (2698 nucleotides) under Mus musculus (house mouse). RNAcentral describes it as "RIKEN cDNA 4921528I07 gene (ENSMUSG00000064299.8)". The record is from RNAcentral. Lineage: Eukaryota; Metazoa; Chordata; Mammalia; Rodentia; Muridae.